Molecule: long non-coding RNA, 1169 nt
Organism: Panonychus citri (citrus red mite)
Lineage: Eukaryota; Metazoa; Arthropoda; Arachnida; Trombidiformes; Tetranychidae
Exons: 3
Source: RefSeq, a predicted model, not a curated record
CAACGGCCUAAAGUCUUACUAAGAGCAUUAUGUGAAUUGAAUCUCCAGGUUUGGGAUUAUGAUUAAUUCAAUGGAUUUCAUUGUCUGGUGACGAUUUUUGGUUGUUUACUCAAUACUAAUCAAUUCAUUUGAUUUUUCCUUCAAGCGGCAAAAGAAUGCACCUUGGACAUACUUUCGAACAGUUCAACAAUUAGUUCUGCUGAUUCGAGUAACAACAAUCAAAUACAAUUAAAAGUUCAUGAAUCUACUUAUUCAAAGAAAAACGUAUCAGAGGUUGGUGGCUUUUCUAAGCAAAUCUAGCCGAUUAAUUAACUGGUAAAUUGGAGGCUGAUUUUGAACUGUUAACCCAAGACGAAGCUGAUGCUAAUCCGGCUGGAUUAGCACGAGAUCCAACUCAGCCUUUGGAUUAGCCUCAGCAACCUGAUACAUCGUUCACAUGGCUCGCUAAUCCGUGGAAAUCGUUUCGAUACAUCAUUUGGACUCGACGAAAAUUGUUCUUCUUUAAGCUUUUACUUUUCGUUUUCUUUUUGAUAUUUUUCUAUUCUCUACCAGAUUACACAGUUAAGAAAAUGAUUGGAGCUUAAUUAACUUCUGAUUGUGAUCAACUAAUUACAUUACUCAAGGUCUUCGAUGCAGUUAUGUAUGGACGAUAAUCUAAUGACAACUUUAUCAAAAAGCGCUAGUAACAAAUUGAGAUGAAUAAAAUACUCAAACAAUUAAGAUUAAUGAUUAUUGAAUUCCAUUCACUAAUUAAUUAGUUCAGUUAACUUCAAUCACUUUAACCCGAAGGAAGGAAAAGGAUCUAAACAAUUAACUGUGGAAAUGAUUAACUUCGGUAGUAUGAUUUAUCUUAAUGAUUUUUGUCUGAAAACCCAAAAUUAACUAAUCGUUAAAUGGUUGAGUAAAAUUUUUGAUUUCUAUUUAUAAUUAAUAUUAAUUGACAAUUUAAAUGAUUAACUUAGAUCAACAAUAAUCAUUUGGAGUAAUAAGUUUACGGUAAAUUAAAAAUGUAAACCAUUUACCGUUAGGAUUUUUGCGUUUUUUGUUUACUUUGGAUGAUAAUUGUUAAUUGCAAGGGUUUCCCUUUGAAGAUUAUGAUCAAAGUUAAUCACUGAUUGUCAAUUUUAAUUAUAAUUAUCAUGUUUUUCAUUUUCAUCCUUCAAGAAUGU